GUGUCAUUUUUUGUGCACUUACGGCUUUUUCAUACGUCUUGUUUUCAUUAAAUUAGGAUGAAUUUUGCUGUUUUAGGUAGUCUCAGUAAGUUUAUCUGAAAGAGUUUAGACGAAUUUUGAAGAAAACUCGAUUUCGAAAAUUUUGCACUUACGGCUCUCUUCGCUAUCACGGAAGAUCUGUGACGCGGCCUGCGCGGUGCCUUAUUUUCAUAGAGAAAAAAAAAGGAGGUGUUUGCAUCUUGAGGUUUGUUCACCCUGUGACGUACGUCGGUACAACCUGGCCAGCAAAAUCCGGGAUUCGAAGUAAGAAAAACGGACCAUAAUGUCCCAUUUUUUGCUUAAAUCAACUUAUGAUAUAAUUUCAAGCACUUUUUAUUGAAUGACUUUUUUCCAUAAAUUACAUUAUUUCCAAGAAAAUCGAUGAUAAACGUCGCUGUACCGACCUACGUCAUCAAAGAAAUUCCAAGAUGCCCGAAAUGCAAACACCUCCUUUUUUCUCUAUGCCUUAUUUUCCGCUUCCGUGUGUUUUGUAAACACCCUCUGACCCGUGCAUUCUAUUCCCUGUUCCAGGAUGAAGUGGGCUUUGCUGGGCUUAGCGCUUCUGGCUGUGGGCGCCUACGGCUACCCGAUCAACGAGAAGAAGGAGGUUGCGCCGCCGGUCAUACAGGACUACUCGAAGGUGAGCGACGCGAGUGCCCAGGUCGCCCCGGUGGCCGCUGACGCCCCCAAGAGCGAGGCGGCCAAACCGGCGGCCGACGAGGCCAAACCAACGCCCGCUGCCGCCCCGGCCACCGAAUCCAACGCCAUCAAGAGCGAGGAGAAACCGGAAGCCACCGCCGCCCCAGCUGCCCCACCCGCGGCUGAGGCUCCUAAGAAGGAUGAAAAGGUUGAGCUACCCGCCGCCGCGUCCCCGAGCGAGCCCGCCAAGGAUGUCGCAGUUCCUCCCCCCGCCCCCGUCGUCGACGAAGCCAAAAAGGCCGAGGACGCCAAACCCGUAGCCGAAGAGAAGAAGGAAGAACCGAAGAAGGAGGAAGAGAAGAAGGAGGAGAAGAAGGAGGAAAAGAAAGAGGAGCCAAAGAAGGAAGAACCCCUCAAGGAAGACAAGAAAGAGGAGAUCAAGCCUGCAGCCAGCGAAAUCUCCGAGCAGAAGGUUAUGGACCCAGAGACCCCGAAAGGCGAACCAGUCAAACCCGAAGUCACCCCCGCCCCCGAAGAGGCCAAGAAAGAGGAAGUCAAGAAAGAGGAAGCUAAAGAAGAGAAGAAACCCGAGAUGGACUCCAAGCCCGUAGAGGAGAAGAAGGAGGAGGAAGAAGGAGGAGAAGAAGGAGGAGAAGAAGGAGGAGAAGAAGGAAGAGAAGAAGGAGGAAAAGAAGGACGAGCCAAAGAAGGAGGAGAAGAAGGAGGAGCCAAAGAAGGAGAAGAAAGAAGAGAAAGAGGACAAGAAAGACAAGAAGAAGGAGGAGUUCAAAGAGAAGGAGAUGAAGAAGGAGGAGAUGAAGAAGACAAGAAGAAGGCCGCCGACGCCGAAGCCGCGCCCUCCCACUCGAGCUAA
Molecule: long non-coding RNA, 1552 nt
Filed under: Bemisia tabaci
Lineage: Eukaryota; Metazoa; Arthropoda; Insecta; Hemiptera; Aleyrodidae
Description: lncRNA ENSSSA3NGG008816
Source: RNAcentral